Molecule: transfer RNA, 72 nt
Filed under: Dreissena polymorpha
Lineage: Eukaryota; Metazoa; Mollusca; Bivalvia; Myida; Dreissenidae
Description: transfer RNA threonine (anticodon AGU)
Rfam family: tRNA
About the family: Transfer RNA (tRNA) molecules are approximately 80 nucleotides in length. Their secondary structure includes four short double-helical elements and three loops (D, anti-codon, and T loops). Further hydrogen bonds mediate the characteristic L-shaped molecular structure. tRNAs have two regions of fundamental functional importance: the anti-codon, which is responsible for specific mRNA codon recognition, and the 3' end, to which the tRNAs corresponding amino acid is attached (by aminoacyl-tRNA synthetases). tRNAs cope with the degeneracy of the genetic code in two manners: having more than one tRNA (with a specific anti-codon) for a particular amino acid; and 'wobble' base-pairing, i.e. permitting non-standard base-pairing at the 3rd anti-codon position.
Source: Rfam by way of RNAcentral
GGCUCCAUGGCUCAGUGGCAGAGCGCCUGUCUAGUAAACAGGAGAUCGUGGGUUCGAUCUCCACUGGAGCCU